Molecule: non-coding RNA, 103 nt
Organism: Pediococcus pentosaceus ATCC 25745
Lineage: Bacteria; Bacillati; Bacillota; Bacilli; Lactobacillales; Lactobacillaceae
Source: Rfam
GCAUAGCGUUGAUGUGAAAGGUUGCGACACACCCGGCCGCUUUGCCACAGGGUGUGGCGGUAAUUUUCACGGAGCAAGUCUUAUUUUUAAAAUAGACGAAGGA